GCUGGGACCACUGGGACUCCAUCAAUGCCAUCCUCUAUUGGCUGCUCCAAAUUAUGUUUUGCCUUAUGAAGAUCAUCUCGUCCCCUUAAUUCCACUGGCUGUGAAUUAGCAUUGCACUGAGUAGAAUGUUAUGGACAGUGCAAGAAGAUAGAGAGCCAAUGAACAUAAUUAGCUGAGCUGAGCUGUUGAAACUAACCUCUAUCAAUCUGUGAAGCUCAAACACUUGACGAAGUAAACAAUGAUUUCAUAUUUAUGAAUGUGGGCUAAUGUGAAGUCGGAAUGUUUGUAAUCCAUGCUUGUACCUGUUCACAUCAAUUUUCUCGCAAGCUUAACAAGGCAUUUAAUCUGUUUUGUAGAGGCCCAAGAUCAAAGGUUACACACUGGAAACAAAUUGUUCUUUAUCUUGAUGAAGUUCUAACGAUUUGCGAGGAUGAAGUAAUUUAAGGGAGCAUAACUGUAGAGUAAGAAGAAUCCACGGGACAAUCAACUACUCAUUAAAUGGGAAACAUUGUCAAGUUUUGAUAGUUUUUGCUGACCAAGUAAACUAUGAUUCAUGUGAACUCCCGUGCUUCGAAGUUGGAAUUGUUGUGUUAAACCAUUCUGUAGUAGUUCAUAAUAUUUUAGGAAAUUAUAUCAACCUUUUGAUUAAGAUAAGAGAGAUAUUAGAGAUAUUAAUUGAUGUAACUUUAUUUGA
Molecule: long non-coding RNA, 694 nt
Organism: Zingiber officinale
Lineage: Eukaryota; Viridiplantae; Streptophyta; Magnoliopsida; Zingiberales; Zingiberaceae
Exons: 2
Source: RefSeq, a predicted model, not a curated record